AGGAUUCCCCUAGUAACGGCGAGUGAAGUGGGAAGAGCUCAACUUUGUAAUCUGGCUGUUUCACAGUCCGAGUUGUAGUCUAAAGAAGCAUGAUCCGCGCCGGCCCUUGGGCAUGUCUGUUGGAACGCAGUGUCAAAGAGGGUGAUAAUCCCGUACAUACCAAGGACGACCGUGUGCAUUGUGGUCUGCUCUCUAAGAGUCGAGUUGUUUGGGAAUGCAGCUCUAAUUGGGUGGUAAAUUCCAUCUAAAGCUAAAUAUCGACGAGAGACCGAUAGCGAACAAGUACAGUAAUGGAAAGAUGAAAAGUAGCCUGCAGAGGCAAUGAAACAAUACGUGAAACCGUUUGUAGGGAAGCGAUGGGAACCUUUUCACGCUGCAGGGGCUCAGCCUUUCUUCGGAUUGGUGUAUUCCCCUGUUUUGCGGACCAGCAUCAGUUUGCUUGGCAGUAUAAGGGUGUUUGGAACGUGGCUCCCACGGGAGUGUUAUAGCCUUUCACUGGAUGCUGCCUCGCAGACUGAGGACUGCAGUGCGCCUUCAUGGCAUAGUCUUCGGGCUACGAGCACUUAGGAUGCUGGGCGAAUGGGUUUCAACGACCCGUCUUGAAACACGGACCAAGGAGUCUAACAUGCCUGCGAGUGUUUGAGUGUCAAACUCGAGCGCGUAAUGAAAGUGAACGAAGGUGGGAUGUGUAAAAACUGCACCAUCGACCGGUCUUGAAGUUUACGGAUGGAUCUGAGUAAGAGCAUGUAUGUUGGGACCCGAAAGAUGGUGAACUAUGCCUGAAUAGGGUGAAGUCAGGUGAAAACCUGAUGGAGGCUCGUAGCGGUUCUGACGUGCAAAUCGAUCGUCAAAUUUGGGUAUAGGGG
Molecule: ribosomal RNA, 866 nt
Filed under: Sterigmatomyces pulcherrimus
Lineage: Eukaryota; Fungi; Basidiomycota; Agaricostilbomycetes; Agaricostilbales; Agaricostilbaceae
Description: LSU rRNA
Rfam family: Eukaryotic large subunit ribosomal RNA
Source: RNAcentral